This 21-nucleotide microRNA is filed under the name Callorhinchus milii (elephant shark). RNAcentral's name for it is "Cmi-Mir-128-P3_3p (mature (guide))". RNAcentral also lists the same sequence under 1 other name. The record is from RNAcentral. Lineage: Eukaryota; Metazoa; Chordata; Chondrichthyes; Chimaeriformes; Callorhinchidae.
UCACAGUGAACCGGUCUCUGU